Molecule: ribosomal RNA, 465 nt
Filed under: uncultured bacterium
Lineage: Bacteria
Description: partial 16S ribosomal RNA
Rfam family: Bacterial small subunit ribosomal RNA
Source: RNAcentral
CUACGGGGGGCUGCAGUGGGGAAUAUUGGACAAUGGGGGAAACCCUGAUCCAGCGAUGCCGCGUGUGUGAAGAAGGCCUGCGGGUUGUAAAGCACUUUUAAUGGAGAAGAGGAAGGUUAGAGAAAUAUGCUAACUGAAAGACGUUAUCCAAAGAAAAAGCACCGGCCAACUCUGUGCCAGCAGCCGCGGUAAUACAGAGGGUGCAAGCGUUAAUCGGAAUGACUGGGCGUAAAGGGCAUGUAGGUGGAACUUCAAGUUAGAUGUGAAAGAAACAGGCUUAACCUGUAGGUUGUCAUCUAAGACUGAAGAACUAGAGGACAGGAGAGGUAAGUGGAAUUUCCGGAGUAGCGGUGAAAUGCGUAGAGAUCGGAAAGAACACCAAUGGCGAAGGCAACUUACUGGCCUGGACCUGACACUGAGGUGCGAAAGCGUGGGUAUCGAACAGGAUUAGAUACCCGUGUAGUC